Thunnus maccoyii (southern bluefin tuna) is the source of this 952-nucleotide non-coding RNA. Lineage: Eukaryota; Metazoa; Chordata; Actinopteri; Scombriformes; Scombridae. The record is from the annotation of a RefSeq genome assembly.
UGCACUGUUGGAACAACUGCUACCAACUCAAUUUAUCUCCUGUACUGUACAUCUCUCUCUCCUGUACUGUACAUCUCUCUCUCCUGUACUGUAGGGGGACCUCGAGCACCACAAACACUCCCAGUUACACUUUGAUUCAUCACGUGGAUUACACAGCAGCUAACAGCAUCAGAGAACAUCAACUAUGAAACACCCACCUGGAACCUUUUAGAUCUCUGUAACUACACUGACAGUUAGAUUAGACCUCUUUCAGUCUCUGACUUCUACAACAUGGACAUCAUCAAACAUGGUUUCCUAAGCUUGUUAACACUUCUGCUCUGGAUAAAAGGUCUAGUUGAUGGGAGUGAUGUCACUCAGACCUCAAUAAUAUGGAAAUUCAUGGAUGAAAAUGCAACAAUGUCCUGCAACCACACCAAGGAUUUUAGCUACAACCAGAUGUACUGGUACAGACAGCUGCCAGGAGAAACAAUGAAACAAAUUGUGUUCACUGAUCCAAACAGCAAACCUGACUUUGAACCAGACUUCAGAAAUGGGAGAUUCUCAGCUACUAAGCCUAACUUUGCUAGUGGGACAUUCACAGUGAAGAAUCUGGAACCAGGAGAUAAAGGCUUGUAUUUCUGUGCUGUCAGUGAAGCACAGUGAUACAGAUGCACUUGACAGCUGAACAAAAACCUCAGCAAGCUGUUACCAACUGUAUUUAUCUGCUGUACUGUAGGAGGACCUCAAGUACAACACACAACAACUCACAAUACAGCCACACUCCCACCUGUAACUUACAACACAGAAAUAAACUCUGUUGUAACGUCACACCUUCCAUCACACAGACUGAGUGUCUCUCAUUUUCAUUUUACUCAGAACACAAUAAUGAUCCCAGCUGGUCUGAUCAAACUCUCUGCAGCUCUGCUCUGUAUUGUAGGUACUGUACAUCAUGAGGCCGAGGAUUGAAAGGAGA